UAAGCUAGCAACAUCUCUCUUACCUCGUGGGCUGUCAAGCAAGCAAGACCUGUACAGCAGUAAUCGCAGGAAAACGUCUGUAAAAACUUAUGGACAUGCUGAGUCCUCCAGAUGAAAGAAUGCUCUUUGCAACCACCUUCCAAAUUGGAUAAUAGAAGGGGGUCCUGAAUGUCAUGUGAAGAGCUCUGAACCCGAACACUUAAGCAGCUCUACCUGUCACAGCAGGAAAUCCCAGCACCAUGAGAAGCACAGAUCAGGAGUUGGGGUGUAGGCUGGUCACUGGUCUUCUUGUCACACACAGAGCAUGACAAUGGGCCUGAUUUACUAAGUGUUGUUUUCUUUGUAGGUUUUUUCCUGACAGGUAUUUUUUCAUGUUAUUUACUAAUGUGAUGAUUUUUCCCUACAUUUUUCUUUUUUUCACAACUGCUCUGAGCUGUCGGGUUUUACAGAGCUCAAAUCCACCACAUUUUAUGUGGGAACUUAAGUAAAUAUGUUGGGAUUUUUCAAAACUGCCGGGAAAACAACUUUUUUUCAGGGCCAUGCUCUUUUCCCUGGCGAUCAUGCCCUUUCCUUUUCUGAGUAAGGCCAUGUUCACACAGAGUAAAAUGUACAGAAUAUGCGCUUGGAAAAAAAGGCGACCAUUCCGCAAAUUUGCACUAACUAGCAGGUACUAGGAAAUGUGCUGUCUCAUAGACAGGAAUGCAUU
Long non-coding RNA from Hyla sarda, 706 nucleotides. RefSeq lists it as uncharacterized. The record is from RefSeq and is a predicted model, not a curated record. The transcript has 3 exons. Lineage: Eukaryota; Metazoa; Chordata; Amphibia; Anura; Hylidae.